UACGUAGGGUGCGAGCGUUAAUCGGAAUUACUGGGCGUAAAGUGUGCGCAGGCGGCCGCGCAAGUCGAGUGUGAAAGCCCCGAGCUUAACUUGGGAACUGCGCUCGAAACUACGUGGCUGGAGUGUGGCAGAGGAAGGUGGAAUUCCAGGUGUAGCGGUGAAAUGCGCAGAUAUCAGGAGGAACACCGGUGGCGAAGGCGGGUCUCUGGGCCGAUACUGACGCUGAGGAGCGAAAGCGUGGGGAGCGAACAGG
This 253-nucleotide ribosomal RNA is filed under the name uncultured bacterium. RNAcentral describes it as "partial 16S ribosomal RNA". It matches the Rfam family "Bacterial small subunit ribosomal RNA", at positions 524 to 776 of the family's 1533-position model. The record is from RNAcentral.